This 135-nucleotide ribosomal RNA is filed under the name Leotiaceae sp. RNAcentral's name for it is "partial large subunit ribosomal RNA". Lineage: Eukaryota; Fungi; Ascomycota; Leotiomycetes; Leotiales; Leotiaceae. The record is from RNAcentral.
AAGCGCUUGCAAUCAGACUUGCAUGUAGUUGAUCAUCCGAUGUUCUCACCGGUGCACUCAAUUGCAUUCAGGCCAGUAUCGGUUCUGGUGGUUGGAUAAAGACCUUGAGAAUGUAGCUUCUUUCGGGGAGUGUUA